UGCGCAGACUCAGCGCAUACCGGAAGUUCCUCUUUCUCUCUCUAACGUGGACCGUCGUGUGAGGAGCAUCAGCACCGCCAUGCAGCUAGUCUAAUAUCUCCACAGGACCUGAAACAAGGUGCUGGAUAAUGACUGGAAAUGACACGUCUUCUCUAUAUGCUAUCUCAUCCCGUUUUCCAAGCAAAAUAAAUCUUGUUCUGAUGAGGGAAAUAUCAUGUUAGAGCUUCAUCUUUGUUAUGAAGUCAGAAAAAUUCAGCCUUGCUUGGAAGGUAAGUAUGAAACACAUUAACUUGGGUCACAGCUGCAUUGUUUCACAUCUGUCAGAAACCACAAAUGUAAAUAUUUUAAAUGCAUUACUGUUUUGUAAUAAAAACAGUCUUUAAUAUUUUAAAUGCAUAUAUAUCUCAAGGUUUUCUUCUCUAAAUUUGAUUCUCUAAUAAAAUUUGGAAGAAAAAGAAA
Long non-coding RNA from Austrofundulus limnaeus, 459 nucleotides. RefSeq lists it as uncharacterized. Lineage: Eukaryota; Metazoa; Chordata; Actinopteri; Cyprinodontiformes; Rivulidae. The record is from RefSeq and is a predicted model, not a curated record. The transcript is spliced from 5 exons.